Long non-coding RNA from Octopus sinensis (East Asian common octopus), 170 nucleotides. RefSeq lists it as uncharacterized. The record is from RefSeq and is a predicted model, not a curated record. The transcript is spliced from 3 exons. Lineage: Eukaryota; Metazoa; Mollusca; Cephalopoda; Octopoda; Octopodidae.
GUGGUUCUGCUGAAGAAAAUCCUGGUUUCUGAGACAACAAUAUUUAUCGACCUGUAAGGCAGGCUGGUCGUUCUUGAUGUGACAGUCAGCAGAGUAAGACUUUCAGGUUGGUUGGUGUCUAUGUCCCCUGUGGAGCUGGAAAUCUGAUUUUUUAGAAGCCUAGAGAAUUU